UUCUCUCAUUCUCUUUUUCCUUCACUCAUAUCCUCUCUUUCAUCCUCUCUCAUCCUUGUAAUCGAGAACAUUGCUUCAAUCUCCUUUUAAGUACAAUGCCUCCGAAGAAGAUAAUUGACAAAGGCAAAGGAAUUCCCUUGGAACCAAUCUCAGAAAAACCCGAACCAAAAAAUACUCACCCAAAAACCGAACCUUGGAUUACAGUUACAAAAAAGAGUGCUAAAAAAGAAGAAAUAUCAGCCACCCCAAAAUCUCUUCAAACACCAGAAGCCAUCAUGAACCAAAUGUUACAAUUACAAAAAGCUUUCGAGCUCAGUUUUACGAAACAAGAGUCCGGAGAAUCUUCCAAAAACUUUCCUUCUCAAGCUAUUUCAAAAUCUAACGAGGUCCCUUCAAAAAUGAUUUCAAGAGAAAACCAGACCUCUAAAAUUAUUUCAAAACCUUCAAAUAAUUCCCAGAUUAUUUUGAAGGAGAUUUCCCAAAACAUUCCCUCUGAAUAUUUCGAAAAACAUACCUACCAAAAUAUUAUAAAUAUUGAAAAAGGAUUUUUUGUAAACAAUGAUCCAUUUUUAACGCUGGAAAAAUAUUUUGGGAAAAAUAAUUUCUUCAAACCUCAUAAUACAGAUAAAACUGUGUUAUUCUUUCAAACCAUUUUGGAAAUUACGGAUUCAGUGUCCUUCAAACACUUUUAUCUAAACGAAAAUCACACUGAUGCCGCUUAUUCCACCUUCAAAAUCCAUAAAAUCAUUGCACCAAGUGAUUGGGAAUAUGGUCUUAACGAGAAUCUGAACUUUCCAGAAGAUCUUAGAAAUCUCCCUUGUUACAAUGUUCCUUUUAACUACUGGGAUUAUUGUCAGGCAUGGUACAAUUCCUUUUUGAUCCAAUCUCCUAGACACAAACACACGUGGUUGAUCUUCUUUGACACCACUUGUAACUUAUCCAAAUCUCCCUAUUGGUUCAUGCCAUGGUGGAACUACUUUGGUUCUGUCACAGAAAUAUUUAAACCCAAUAUCCAAAAAUCAUUCCAGAUCUUCAAGACAAAUUUCAUUCCGUCUGAAGAAGAAAAGAAAUUUCCACCAUUAGCCCUUUUUCACUCUAAAUUUCAUUUUCCCUGGGUAUUUUCAUGGACCCUUGAAUUUACUUCCGACCCAAUCCCUAUUAUCCAAAGAAAAUUCAGAGCCAAGUGGUGGGAUAAAUAUAAAAUUCCCUCGAAUCUUUAUCCAUCAAAUAUCCUUACCUGGAUAAAGGAACAAAACUCGAAAAUCCAAACACUUAACCAAACACCAAACCAAACACCAGAAACAACCAUUUUCCUGGCUCAAAAAUCCAAAAUGUUAGCCAUGUUGGCAGGUGCAAAAUCUGAAGAAGAAAUUAAGGCGAUCUCCUUACAAUUUCUACCGUCAAUGUCCGAUCAAGUCUCUCAUACUACAGGAAGCGAUUCAGGAUCUCAAGUGCCGGAUAUCGAUGAAGAAAUAUUCGGCAACAGUGGUGACUAAUCUCUCUCCUCAAGAAAUACAAAUCUCCUCAAAAGCAAGAAAAAUCUUUGUUACGAAUCUGUCAGAUACGAUUACAUUGUUAUGAAUAUUCUCUAUGAUCUCUUGUCGGAAUACCCGAGAAAAAUCCAAAACAUUAAUAAGUGCUAUGUCCUGUAGCCAUGAAGACCAAGGUCCACUUCCAGCAGACAGCAAUCAAUUAUGGAACGUAAUGGAGCUAGCUUUUGCUAGUGAUAUUAUCCAUAUAUGCCACUUUUAUUUUUAAAUUUAAAUUUUUAUGUAUAACUGCACCCUUGUAAACUCCUAUAUAAAGGAGUCUUUGCUUCAGUUGUAGAGCAGGUUCUCAUUCUCUCAUUCUCUUUUUCCUUCACUCAUAUCCUCUCUUUCAUCCUCUCUCAUCCUUGUAAUCGAGAACAUUGCUUCAAUCUCCUUUUAAUUUAACACAAAAUGCUAUUUCCGAUUCUUUACCUAAGUCUGGAGAACUUUCAUAGGGAUCUUUGUUCCAAUCGGAGCAGUCUACAAUACCCUAAACUCAACAGAACAUAGGAUCAACACUCAAGAUUUAGCUGAGAGUGUGAGAGUAAUGGUGUGCCACAUUCCAGUGAGAGUGUGAGUGAGGACGUUGAAGAACUGAUCAGAAAGGGAUAGAGAAGAUGAAAAGAGCUAGAAAAGAUGAAACACAUGGUUUCGAACCUUAUCCACUAUUCGAGCUUUAACUCUAUGCACUGUCCUCUUUCCCUUGUAGCUUUUUAAUCAUUCUUAAAGUUUUCAAGCUUUGUUCAAUGUUUGCCUUUUUCAGUUUCAAGCUCUCUGCAAAUGUGCUAAGACAUCUAUAUAUAUAUUUCAAUCACAAUUGCGAUCAAGAUGUGCUCACUCAUCAUUGUUACAUGGUUUUUCAAAACAAAGACUCACUUGACUUGAGAGUUAACAAUAUCUAAUACUCAUUUAACUUUAUGGUAAGCACCAUUUAUAUAAAACACUUACCAAUUUACACCAGCAUCAAUUGUCACACACACACACACACA
RNA transcript from Raphanus sativus (radish), 2518 nucleotides. RefSeq lists it as uncharacterized. Lineage: Eukaryota; Viridiplantae; Streptophyta; Magnoliopsida; Brassicales; Brassicaceae. The transcript has 3 exons. The record is from RefSeq and is a predicted model, not a curated record.